ACUCCUACGGGAGGCAGCAGUGGGGAAUAUUGCACAAUGGGGGAAACCCUGAUGCAGCCAUGCCGCGUGUGUGAAGAAGGCCUUCGGGUUGUAAAGCACUUUCAGUAGGGAGGAAGGUAGUGUAGUUAACACCUGCAUUAUUUGUACGUUACCUACAGAAGAAGCACCGGCUAACUCCGUGCCAGCAGCCGCGGUAAUACGGAGGGUGCGAGCGUUAAUCGGAAUUACUGGGCGUAAAGCGCAUGCAGGCGGCCUGUUAAGUCAGAUGUGAAACGCCCGGGGCUUAACCUCGGAAUUGCAUUUGAAACUGGCAGGCUAGAGUCUUGUAGAGGGGUUAGAAUUUCAGGUGUAGCGGUGAAAUGCGUAGAGAUCUGAAGG
This 378-nucleotide ribosomal RNA is filed under the name uncultured bacterium. RNAcentral's name for it is "bacterial SSU rRNA". It matches the Rfam family "Bacterial small subunit ribosomal RNA", at positions 335 to 704 of the family's 1533-position model. The record is from RNAcentral.